Molecule: long non-coding RNA, 336 nt
Organism: Mauremys reevesii (Reeves's turtle)
Lineage: Eukaryota; Metazoa; Chordata; Testudines; Geoemydidae
Exons: 3
Source: RefSeq, a predicted model, not a curated record
AGACCUGUGAAGAUGUGAGCGAUCUCAGGGAAAGUCUCCAGUGCAGUUGAAGUCCGGGGCCAGAGAUGAACACUUUACUACCGUCCUUUUUGAACGUGGAGCUGCUGCUCUUUGCAGUGGCAUCUGCAAAGUUAUUCACUGAACACCAGGAGGGCAGCCUUGCUGGAGGAACAUGGAUCACCCUGACAUUGGAUGGUCUGACAUCUCCCCAGUUACAGUUCAUGUACUCCACCAGUGGGUCUUUGCUAGAAGUGUCCCUAGUGAAUCCCAUUCUGCCUCCGGUACGGUGCGAUGUCCAUCCUGUAUAUUUCGAUGUAUCCAUCAUCAGAUGCAAAA